This 581-nucleotide ribosomal RNA is filed under the name Inocybe sp. TO-2011. Its description in RNAcentral is "eukaryotic LSU rRNA". The stretch from base 231 to 384 matches the Rfam family "5.8S ribosomal RNA". The record is from RNAcentral. Lineage: Eukaryota; Fungi; Basidiomycota; Agaricomycetes; Agaricales; Inocybaceae.
UUGCUGGUCUCUUGGGACAUGUGCACGCUUGUCUCAUCUUUGUUAUUCUUCCCCCAACUUGUGCACAUUUUGUAGACCCUGGAGCUUUAUGGAUUUUUAUUCGAGUCAGGACUGCUGUGCUUUUCUUACAAAGUCAGCUUUGCCUUGCAUUUCCAGGUCUAUGUCAUUUUUCACAACCUCUUGAGACACACAUGUUUAGAAUGUAUCUAAAGAAAUGAAAUGAAAUAUACAACUUUCAGCAACGGAUCUCUUGGCUCUCGCAUCGAUGAAGAACGCAGCGAAAUGCGAUAAGUAAUGUGAAUUGCAGAAUUCAGUGAAUCAUCGAAUCUUUGAACGCAUCUUGCGCUCCUUGGUAUUCUGAGGAGCAUGCCUGUUUGAGUGUCAUUUAACUUCUCAACCACAUCAGAUAUGAUGAUUGUGGCUUGGAUGUGGGGGAUUUGUUUUGCAGGCUUUUUCUGUAACAAGAGAAGGUCGGCUCCCCUGAAAUGUAUUAGUGGUAUCUGAGGCUACUUACUAUAGGUGUAAUAAUUAUCUAUGCCUUUGGUAUGCCAUAUAGAACAGAUUACACUGCUUCUAACAAG